Molecule: ribosomal RNA, 478 nt
Filed under: uncultured bacterium
Lineage: Bacteria
Description: bacterial SSU rRNA
Rfam family: Bacterial small subunit ribosomal RNA
Source: RNAcentral
AUUGAACGCUGGCGGAAUGCUUUACACAUGCAAGUCGAACGGUAGAGGGGGCAACCCCCUUGAGAGUGGGCGAACGGGUGAGUAAUAUAUCGGAACGUGCCCAGUCGUGGGGAUAACGUAGCGAAAGUUACGCUAAUACCGCAUACGAUCUAAGGAUGAAAGCGGGGGACUCGCAAGAGCCUCGCGCGAUUGGAGCGGCCGAUAUCAGAUUAGGUAGUUGGUGGGGUAAAGGCUCACCAAGCCAACGAUCUGUAGCUGGUCUGAGAGGACGACCAGCCACACUGGAACUGAGACACGGUCCAGACUCCUACGGGAGGCAGCAGUGGGGGAAUUUUGGGACAAUGGACGCAAGUCUGAUCCAGCCAUUCCGCGUGCAGGAUGAAGGCCCUCGGGUUGUAAACUGCUUUUGUACGGAACGAAAGGUUUCUAUUAAUACUAGGAGCUCAUGACGGUACCGUAAGAAUAAGCACCGGCUAAC